GUGGCUAAUACCGCAUAACGUCGCAAGACCAAAGAGGGGGACCUUCGGGCCUCUUGCCAUCAGAUGUGCCCAGAUGGGAUUAGCUUGUUGGUGAGGUAACGGCUCACCAAGGCGACGAUCCCUAGCUGGUCUGAGAGGAUGACCAGCCACACUGGAACUGAGACACGGUCCAGACUCCUACGGGAGGCAGCAGUGGGGAAUAUUGCACAAUGGGCGCAAGCCUGAUGCAGCCAUGCCGCGUGUAUGAAGAAGGCCUUCGGGUUGUAAAGUACUUUCAGCGGGGAGGAAGGUGUUGUGGUUAAUAACCGCAGCAAUUGACGUUACCCGCAGAAGAAGCACCGGCUAACUCCGUGCCAGCAGCCGCGGUAAUACGGAGGGUGCAAGCGUUAAUCGGAAUUACUGGGCGUAAAGCGCACGCAGGCGGUCUGUCAAGUCGGAUGUGAAAUCCCCGGGCUCAACCUGGGAACUGCAUUCGAAACUGGCAGGCUUGAGUCUUGUAGAGGGGGGUAGAAUUCCAGGUGUAGCGGUGAAAUGCGUAGAGAUCUGGAGGAAUACCGGUGGCGAAGGCGGCCCCCUGGACAAAGACUGACGCUCAGGUGCGAAAGCGUGGGGAGCAAACAGGAUUAGAUACCCUGGUAGUCCACGCCGUAAACGAUGUCUACUUGGAGGUUGUGCCCUUGAGGCGUGGCUUCCGGAGCUAACGCGUUAAGUAGACCGCCUGGGGAGUACGGCCGCAAGGUUAAAACUCAAAUGAAUUGACGGGGGCCCGCACAAGCGGUGGAGCAUGUGGUUUAAUUCGAUGCAACGCGAAGAACCUUACCUGGUCUUGACAUCCACAGAAGAAUCCAGAGAUGGAUUGGUGCCUUCGGGAACUGUGAGACAGGUGCUGCAUGGCUGUCGUCAGCUCGUGUUGUGAAAUGUUGGGUUAAGUCCCGCAACGAGCGCAAC
Molecule: ribosomal RNA, 948 nt
Filed under: Salmonella enterica subsp. enterica serovar Typhimurium
Lineage: Bacteria; Pseudomonadati; Pseudomonadota; Gammaproteobacteria; Enterobacterales; Enterobacteriaceae
Description: bacterial SSU rRNA
Rfam family: Bacterial small subunit ribosomal RNA
Source: RNAcentral